GGUGGUGGCGAAUGCUCGGCCUCUGCCUCCCCGGACGACUCCUCCCCGGGAUUAGCAGACGGUUUCGGGAGUUCGGUUAGAAUCUGGACGACCUCCCGCAUUGUGGGCCGCUCCACACUCUGCUCCUCCACGCAUAGCAUUGCCACAUAAAAUACAUGCAUCACCUCAUGCAUAGGCACCGUAGGCAGCCGCGGGUCGAGCACAG
This 205-nucleotide unclassified non-coding RNA is filed under the name Hevea brasiliensis (rubber tree). The record is from RNAcentral. Lineage: Eukaryota; Viridiplantae; Streptophyta; Magnoliopsida; Malpighiales; Euphorbiaceae.